Molecule: long non-coding RNA, 118 nt
Organism: Gopherus evgoodei (Goodes thornscrub tortoise)
Lineage: Eukaryota; Metazoa; Chordata; Testudines; Testudinidae
Exons: 2
Source: RefSeq, a predicted model, not a curated record
AUUUCAUAUUUGAGUUCCUUCAGAACUUUUGGGGCAGUUCCUCAGAUUUUUCACCUAGAAAGAAUGGCUGAAGUGUGGGAAUCCCUUUCACAUCCUCUGCAGUGAAUACCAAUGCAAA